RNAcentral lists this transfer-messenger RNA (358 nucleotides) under Pseudolabrys sp. It matches the Rfam family "Alphaproteobacteria transfer-messenger RNA". Rfam says of the family: Bacterial tmRNA, also known as 10Sa RNA or SsrA, is named for its dual tRNA and mRNA-like properties. Its role is to liberate the mRNA from a stalled ribosome. The record is from RNAcentral. Lineage: Bacteria; Pseudomonadati; Pseudomonadota; Alphaproteobacteria; Hyphomicrobiales; Xanthobacteraceae.
CCUCUUCUUUCUUCACCCCUUUGCGCCUAUAUUCAGCCUGCCGGGGCAACCCGGCUAUGGCGAUAAACGAACGUCGUAAUAAACCUUUCGGACCCGGGGGCAGUACCCGGCGCCUCCACCCAAGCCCUCCCUAGGGAGGGUUUCGGCGGGGGCGAAAUAGGAUCGACGAGGGCGUAAAGGACGGACUUUUGCUCGGCAUGGUUCCGCCGUUAUCGGGCCAAAUCGUAGUUGCAAAUGACAACUAUGCUCCGGUUGCUCAGGCCGCUUAAGCGGUUUUAGUAACCACGCCUACAAGCCCUGGCCGUCUUAGCAGCGGUCAGGCGGGGUUCGGAGGCACCUGGCAACAGAAGCCUCCACU